CAUUCACGGAGAGUUUGAUCCUGGCUCAGGACGAACGCUGGCGGCGUGCUUAACACAUGCAAGUCGAACGAUGAACCACCUUCGGGUGGGGAUUAGUGGCGAACGGGUGAGUAACACGUGGGCAAUCUGCCCUGCACU
Molecule: ribosomal RNA, 138 nt
Filed under: Streptomyces sp. SID10362
Lineage: Bacteria; Bacillati; Actinomycetota; Actinomycetes; Kitasatosporales; Streptomycetaceae
Description: partial 16S ribosomal RNA
Rfam family: Bacterial small subunit ribosomal RNA
Source: RNAcentral